GACGAACGCUGGCGGCGUGCUUAACACAUGCAAGUCGAACGGAAAGGCCCUGCUUUUGUGGGGUGCUCGAGUGGCGAACGGGUGAGUAACACGUGAGUAACCUGCCCUUGACUUUGGGAUAACUUCAGGAAACUGGGGCUAAUACCGGAUAGGAGCUCCUGCUGCAUGGUGGGGGUUGGAAAGUUUCGGCGGUUGGGGAUGGACUCGCGGCUUAUCAGCUUGUUGGUGGGGUAGUGGCUUACCAAGGCUUUGACGGGUAGCCGGCCUGAGAGGGUGACCGGCCACAUGGGGACUGAGAGACGGCCCAGACUCGUACGUGAGGCAGCAGGGGGGAAUAUGGCGCAAUGGGCGGAAGCCUGAGGCAGCAACGCCGCGUGCGGGAUGACGGCCUUCGGGUUGUAAACCGCUUUGGCCUGUGACGAAGCGUGAGUGACGGUAAUGGGUAAAGAAGCACCGGCUAACUACGUG
This 468-nucleotide ribosomal RNA is filed under the name uncultured bacterium. Its description in RNAcentral is "partial 16S ribosomal RNA". It matches the Rfam family "Bacterial small subunit ribosomal RNA", at positions 28 to 507 of the family's 1533-position model. The record is from RNAcentral.